This is a non-coding RNA of Biomphalaria pfeifferi, 228 nucleotides long. NCBI's taxonomy places the organism in Eukaryota, Metazoa, Mollusca, Gastropoda, Planorbidae. The record is from the annotation of a GenBank genome assembly.
GUGAUUUAGUUGUAAUCCAAAUAAAGCGGAUAAAAUGUAUAGCCUAAUGAGUCCAACACUUUUGGAUGUAAUUAAUACAAUAGAACAGCAUUUGUUGAUGUGGCCAGGGUCUUACCUGUUGGAAUACAGAAACUGUGAUGCUACUUGAUCAUGACAAAAACAUUUUUAAGAGCUAUGCAAGGAAGUGGAAGGUUUUUUUAAAUCUCUUUAAAAAAUUGACAUGUUGAU